GUUCUUCCUUAGUCAUGCAAGUACCUAGUCUCUAUGGAUAUCCAUUCAGGAUUAGCCUAGAACAGUCCUCUUUGGUGUUGAUUUUUCUUCUCUAAGAAUAAUUACCCCAUGAUUUUGAACGAAGCCUGGAUCGCGAUCAACUCUUUCAUCUUUUCUUGAUCUUUUUCUUCUCUUCUUUUUUUGCUCUUCUUUCCUUAAUUAUGAAGCAACCAAGAUCUGAAAAUCAGCCACCAAAGGAGACACCCAAGCUCCUCUUGGGUGUGGAGAUGGAGGACACCCAACCUUUUAGGCAUUGGAACUAGAAGGGAGA
RNAcentral lists this long non-coding RNA (310 nucleotides) under Elaeis guineensis (African oil palm). Its description in RNAcentral is "long non-coding RNA (EGUI_LNC048694)". The record is from RNAcentral. Lineage: Eukaryota; Viridiplantae; Streptophyta; Magnoliopsida; Arecales; Arecaceae.